CUGACCUCAGGUGAUCCCCCUGCCUCAGCCUCCCAAAGUGUUGGGAUUACAGGUGUGCGCCACUGUGCCUGGCCCCACCAGUAUUUUAACACGUCUCUUCUAUUUGCACUGAAGCCACCAUUGAGGAUAUUCAGAAUUUUGCAGUGGAAUCUGGUUAGAAAACUAACAGAGUACUAAUAAUAUUUAGAAGUAUUAUGUAAUAGAGGAAAGGCUAUUUGGAUCAGAGAGAUCUAGCUAAAAUGUAAGGAAAUUUUAAGCCUGUGGGUAUGUGCUUUAAAAAUUACCUUGAGCAAGUCAUUUAUACUCUCUGUGAGCCUCAAGUGCUCAAUUAAAAUGGAUAGAAUAAUCACCAUCUCCUAGGAUUUGAAUGAGGGGUGCAUGAAAAAGCAUGUGAAACACACAGGCUCAUGUCUGGUGUGCAAUAGCCUUUAUUUAUUUUUGUUUUCUUUCCUUCAAUACAUUUUCCCUUGCUUGCGUCAUCUUAGAAAUUAUGGCUAAAUAUUAGAGCUCUUUGUAUCCUCAGUAAAAAAUGUCAUGGACUUAGAUAACAUUUUACUACAGAGUCGGCUGAGGUUUGUGUUGCUCCUCAAAUCUAGGAAGCACAUUAGUUAGAGGCUGAAUGAUAACGCUCUUUUUUCUGAGCCACAGUGGAAAAAACUGGAGGUUUCCUGUAUCACUCUGAUGGUAGUCUGCUUCCUUCACCAGUGCAAUUCCAUUAUUGCAGUGAAGAAAAUGUACAACGAUACCUGGAUGAAAGGGGACUCCAUGGAAUGUGAAGUUGUUUGAAAUGGUGUGAGUGGCAUGCAUUAAGAUGCCAGGUUUUUAUUUCAAUUCUCUUCCGCUUGCAAACACUUCGGUAACCUGCAAAGAUGCUGGAGCCAGUGGGGGCAGGGAGUCCAGCCAGGAGGUCCAAAUGCCGUUUCCACACCAGGAUUACUAAUGGACAUUGUCAUCUUCAAACCACUGAGCUUCUUUAAUUUUGGGGAGACAACAAAAAUGAAUCAAAACAAUAAUGUAUUUCUAACCUGUGCGAAAAAUGAUGUCAGCCAAACCCGGUGUCCUUGAGCCAGGCUGACCUGCCCAACACUCUAAGGGCAGUUGCCAAAUAGGCACCUAGCAGUGCGUCAGCUCAGUGGGCUCAGUUUUGGAUGCUAAAUUCCUAUUCUACUCUUGUUGCUCCCGGCUUCUGCCAGGACUUGAUCUCACAGUGUCAGCCCUACUUUUGCCUCAUGGAUUUUGUGUUUGAACUUCGUUUUUCCAACUUUGACACUCAGAUGGCCUCCGAACUCAAGCUCUGGCCUCCUUCUUCCUGACUGCUUCGAGUAGACCCAAACCUGUUUUUUGUCCAAGGACAAAAUACCUAUCUGGGCUCUGGUCAUGCUACCUUAGUCACCUAAAUAUCAGCAAUGCUGAUUCCUAACCACCCUGACUAUUGUCACCAGAAGGUGCCCUGAUUAUGUUGGGAAGUCUUGCUCCUUGUCUGGGGCCCAAGGCCCUCUUUUGAAGUUUGAAGACCCAUCUGUAGGUAGGUAGGUAGGUAGGGUCAUCAUUUGCUUAGCAGCCAAACCAAAAUGUUGCAUAUUCCUUGUGGUAGGUAGAAUGAUGAUCCCCCAACAAUCUCCACAUCCCAUGCCUCUGAACCUGUGAGUGUAUCAUGUGACAUGGCAAAGGAGAAUGGAGGUUGCAGAAGGAAUUAAGUUGCUAAUCAAUUGACCUUAUGAUUGAGAAAUUAUUUUGGAUUAUUGAAGCAAGUCUAAUAUAAUUAUUAGGGUCCUUUAAGCUGGAAGAGGGAAGCAGAAGAGGAGGUCAAAGUGAGAGAGAGAUUUGAAGAUGCUCCACUGCUGGCUUUGAAGAUGGGGAAAGGGACCAGAGGGAGGCCUCCAGGAGCUGCAACAAGCAGCGAAAGAUUAUUCCCUAGAGUCUCCAGGGGGACACAGUCCUACUGACGACUUGAUUUAUCCCAGGAUGAUCCAUGUCUGACUUCCUGCCUCUAGAGUUGUAAGACAAUGUAUUUGUAUCCUUCAAAGCGACUAAGUGGGUGGCCAUGUUAUAGCAGUAACAGGAAAUUGAUGUACUCCUCUACAAAGAACUUCUUCCUAUUCAAUAAUGAAUUUUUAUAAAUGAAACAAAAAAUUCAUCUUUGAACAUGGAAGGUUAAAUUGUCACUUAAAAUGGCUGGAUUACUGAAUAUAAAUUGGUUUCUUUCUAGCCAAAAUACUGAUGUUUGGAAACCAGAGAGGAUCAGCUGCUCCUUCUCUUACUGAGAUAGAUGGUCAGUAAGAGGAAGUCUCCUUUGAUUUUAGACAGAAGCUCUGGGAAGGCCCAAUAUCUGUUCUGCCUUGAUCUUGUCUCUGGUCAUCUGAUGGCAAGGAAAGGUGAACGCAGAGCAAGCAGUUGGUCCAGAAGACAGUGUGCCCCAGUGCCUGGGCAGCCUGACCUGUCUGCCACCCCAGGCCUCUAUAGAGCUCAGAAUAGCCCACCCGAAGCUGUCUCCAGACCCCUCUCAGCAGCUUGAGGGAGAGCAAAUGACCACACACACAGAUGUUUGUUCUAAUUCAGAGUGUCCAUGUUCUUCCUGCCAAAGAGUCACCUGCUUUUGGACUUGACCCCUGCAUGUCCUUGGGGGAGAAGUGGUAAUGAUGGGAGAGGCCAGAGGAAAAUCUAAAGGGGGAGCUGACUCGGGAUUCCCAUCCUGCCAGUCACCCAGCAACCUCUGCAGGGUGUGCAAAGCCCUGCUCUGCAUCUCUGCAGGCAAACUCAGGCUGUAAAAUGAAUGCAAGGCAGGUGUGGCAAUGGGGAAAAGAGGGCAAGGGGAGGAAUAACAGUGUAGCUUGAUUAAAAUGUUAACUCUUAACCUUUUAACAAUUCUGACCUGAAAAAUAUUGACAGCUGAUAUGGAUAAGAUACUUUGCAAUUUGUUAUCUCAUUUUAUUCUCCACCUAUUUUAUAGUAAAGCGAACAUUUACAAUGUAUCUUAGUCUAUUCAGACUCCUAUAACAAAUGUACUGUGGACUGGAGGUCCAAAAGAAAAAUGUGUAUUUCUCACAGUUCUGGAGGCCGGGAAGUCCAAGAUCAAGGUACCAGCUGAUUCGGUGCCUUCUUCCUGGUUUCCAUUUGGCCAUCUUCUCACUGUGUCCUCACAUGGUAAAAACAGAUCAAGAGAGCUGUAAGGGCAUGAAUCCUAUUAAUGAGGGCUCCAGGUUCAUGAUCUAAUUACCUUUAAAAAGAGUCAUCUCUACCAACAGAUUAGGGAGCUGCAGAAAAAACAAGCAAAUGGACACACCAAGACACCAACUGGUUUCUGAAGGUUUCAUCUGGUUACAUCAAAGAUGCAGAAGCUACAACUUUGUGCACAUCCUUAGUCAAAUUCUUAAACUGAAAAUUUAGGUGAAAGUGAUUGCUCAAAAUAUAUGGGCAUUUCAGAGACUUUUCAGACAAAUUUCCUGAUAAAAAAA
This is a long non-coding RNA of Sapajus apella (tufted capuchin), 3455 nucleotides long. RefSeq lists it as uncharacterized. NCBI's taxonomy places the organism in Eukaryota, Metazoa, Chordata, Mammalia, Primates, Cebidae. The record is from RefSeq and is a predicted model, not a curated record. The transcript has 2 exons.